CGACCGGCGCACGGGUGAGUAUCACGUAUGAAACCUGCCCGUAGCAGGGGGAUAAGCGGAAGAAAUUCCGUCUAAUACCGCGUAACAACCCAUGGAGGCAUCUCUGUGGGUUUAAAGGAAGCGAUUCCGGCUACGGAUGGUCAUGCGUCGCAUUAGCUUGUUGGCGGGGUAACGGCCCACCAAGGCGACGAUGCGUAGGGGUUCUGAGAGGAAGGUCCCCCACACUGGUACUGAGACACGGACCAGACUCCUACGGGAGGCAGCAG
This 266-nucleotide ribosomal RNA is filed under the name uncultured bacterium. RNAcentral's name for it is "partial 16S ribosomal RNA". It matches the Rfam family "Bacterial small subunit ribosomal RNA", at positions 92 to 354 of the family's 1533-position model. The record is from RNAcentral.